CUACGGGCCGCUGCAGUGGGGAAUAUUGCACAAUGGAGGAAACUCUGAUGCAGCAACGCCGCGUGGAGGAUGACACUUUUCGGAGCGUAAACUCCUUUUAUAUAGGAAGAAGAUGACGGUACUAUAUGAAUAAGCGCUGGCUAACUCCGUGCCAGCAGCCGCGGUAAUACGGAGGGCGCAAGCGUUACUCGGAAUCACUGGGCGUAAAGAGCGUGUAGGCGGAUUAAAAAGUCAGAAGUGAAAACCUAUAGCUUAACUAUAGAACUGCUUCUGAAACUCUUAAUCUAGAAUAUGGGAGAGGGAGAUGGAAUUUCUGGUGUAGGGGUAAAAUCCGUAGAGAUCAGAAGGAAUACCGAUUGCGAAGGCGAUCUACUAGAACAUUAUUGACGCUGAGACGCGAAAGCGUGGGGAGCAAACAGGAUUAGAUACCCUAGUAGUC
Molecule: ribosomal RNA, 439 nt
Filed under: uncultured bacterium
Lineage: Bacteria
Description: partial 16S ribosomal RNA
Rfam family: Bacterial small subunit ribosomal RNA
Source: RNAcentral